This 497-nucleotide ribosomal RNA is filed under the name uncultured bacterium. Its description in RNAcentral is "partial 16S ribosomal RNA". It matches the Rfam family "Bacterial small subunit ribosomal RNA", at positions 28 to 507 of the family's 1533-position model. The record is from RNAcentral.
GAUGAACGCUGGCGGCGUGCCUAAUACAUGCAAGUCGAGCGAACAGACGAGGAGUUUGCUCCUCUGACGUUAGCGGCGGACGGGUGAGUAACACGUGGAUAACCUACCUAUAAGACUGGGAUAACUUCGGGAAACCGGAGCUAAUACCGGAUAAUAUAUUGAACCGCAUGGUUCAAUAGUGAAAGACGGUUUUGCUGUCACUUAUAGAUGGAUCCGCGCCGCAUUAGUUAGUUGGUAAGGUAACGGCUUACCAAGGCGACGAUGCGUAGCCGACCUGAGAGGGUGAUCGGCCACACUGGAACUGAGACACGGUCCAGACUCCUACGGGAGGCAGCAGUAGGGAAUCUUCCGCAAUGGGCGAAAGCCUGACGGAGCAACGCCGCGUGAGUGAUGAAGGUCUUCGGAUCGUAAAACUCUGUUAUUAGGGAAGAACAAAUGUGUAAGUAACUAUGCACGUCUUGACGGUACCUAAUCAGAAAGCCACGGCUAACUACGUG